AAGGAAUAUUGGACAAUGGUGGCAACACUGAUCCAGCCAUGCCGCGUGCAGGAUGACGGCCCUAUGGGUUGUAAACUGCUUUUGUACGGGAAAAAACCCUCGUUCGUGAACGAGGCUGAUGGUACCGUAAGAAUAAGGAUCGGCUAACUCCGUGCCAGCAGCCGCGGUAAUACGGAGGAUCCAAGCGUUAUCCGGAUUUAUUGGGUUUAAAGGGUGCGUAGGCGGAUUAAUAAGUCAGUGGUGAAAGCCUACAGCUUAACUGUAGAAUUGCCAUUGAUACUGUUAGUCUUGAGUAUAUUUGAAGUGGGCGGAAUGUGCAGUGUAGCGGUGAAAUGCUUAGAUAUUGCACAGAACACCGAUUGCGAAGGCAGCUCACUAAACUAUAACUGACGCUGAGGCACGAAAGUAUGGGGAUCAAAC
RNAcentral lists this ribosomal RNA (420 nucleotides) under uncultured bacterium. Its description in RNAcentral is "bacterial SSU rRNA". It matches the Rfam family "Bacterial small subunit ribosomal RNA", at positions 356 to 773 of the family's 1533-position model. The record is from RNAcentral.